This 60-nucleotide transfer RNA is filed under the name Dendrogale murina (Northern smooth-tailed tree shrew). RNAcentral's name for it is "tRNA-Ser". Lineage: Eukaryota; Metazoa; Chordata; Mammalia; Scandentia; Tupaiidae. The record is from RNAcentral.
GAGAAAGAAUGCAUGAACUGCUAAUUCUAUGCCACCAUACAUAAAACUAUGGCUUUCUUA